GCCUAUCAUUACUACCCUUGAUAAUCUUCAUCCCAAGAUCUUCAACUCUGCCAUUAAGGUUCAUUGUGUCCGCGUUUAUGAAUUGAAUUCUGGAGAAAAGUAUGUCAACAGUUUUGGAAGCUGUAUUCCAUGAUAAAAUGGGCAACCGAAUUCAAGCAUCUUUGCCAGAGUAUUUAGUACAGAAAUUUACUCCUGGAGCAAUUUUCUGCAUUAGACAUUUUGAGGGCCAACAAUCACAAGAAUCACACUGCCAAUCACUUAUUUAGGCUGACUAUGGUGGCUAAAAUUGAAAUAUGUGAAGUGACUGAUGAAAGAUUCCAGUUAUGCAUGUUUUCUGAAACAGCUCAACUGAAUCAAUCUUUGGUAUUUAUUUCACAUAUUUGUACUUUGUUUUGUGUUAUGUAGAACAAUAUUAAAUAUUUUUUGUUUUUAUAUUUUCCAGAUGUGAUAGGAGUGUUUGUUUCACCUGGAAUAGUUGGGAAUAGUUGUUAGCCAGCCUAAAUGCCGACUUAUAGAGAUUGAGAUUGCUGAUGAGAAGUCAGUUCUCUUUUACCAUAAAUUCUGACUACAUAUUUAACAGUAAUGUAUCUCAAAGAUUUCAUUUCUC
Molecule: long non-coding RNA, 607 nt
Organism: Salvia splendens (bonfire salvia)
Lineage: Eukaryota; Viridiplantae; Streptophyta; Magnoliopsida; Lamiales; Lamiaceae
Exons: 2
Source: RefSeq, a predicted model, not a curated record